UGCAGUCGACGGCAGCAUAGGAGCUUGCUCCUGAUGGCGAGUGGCGAACGGGUGAGUAAUAUAUCGGAACGUGCCCUAGAGUGGGGGAUAACUAGUCGAAAGACUAGCUAAUACCGCAUACGAUCUACGGAUGAAAGUGGGGGAUCGCAAGACCUCAUGCUCCUGGAGCGGCCGAUAUCUGAUUAGCUAGUUGGUGGGGUAAAAGCCUACCAAGGCAACGAUCAGUAGCUGGUCUGAGAGGACGACCAGCCACACUGGGACUGAGACACGGCCCAGACUCCUACGGGAGGCAGCAGUGGGGAAUUUUGGACAAUGGGGGCAACCCUGAUCCAGCAAUGCCGCGUGAGUGAAGAAGGCCUUCGGGUUGUAAAGCUCUUUUGUCAGGGAAGAAACGGUAGUAGCGAAUAACUACUACUAAUGACGGUACCUGAAGAAUAAGCACCGC
Molecule: ribosomal RNA, 445 nt
Filed under: uncultured bacterium
Lineage: Bacteria
Description: bacterial SSU rRNA
Rfam family: Bacterial small subunit ribosomal RNA
Source: RNAcentral